CGGUGGAGUAUGUGGUUUAAUUCGAUGCAACGCGAAGAACUUACCUGGUCUUGACAUCCCGGAGACCCUUAGGAACUAGGGGUGCUUCCAUCUGGAAGAAUCUGGAGACAGGUGCUGCAUGGCUGUCGUCAGCUCGUGUCGUGAGAUGUUGGGUUAAGUCCCGCAACGAGCGCAACCCUUGCCUUUAGUUGCCAGCAGUUCGGCUAGGCACUCUAAAGGGACUGCCGGUGUUAAACCGGAGGAAGGUGGGGAUGACGUCAAGUCCUCAUGGCCUUUAUGACCAGGGCUACACACGUACUACAAUGGCCGAUACAAAGGGCAGCGACACUGCGAGGUGAAGCCAAUCCCGUAAAAUCGGUCUCAGUCCGGAUUGGAGUCUGCAACUCGACUCCAUGAAGUUGGAAUCGCUAGUAAUCGUGGAUCAGCAUGCCACGGUGAAUACGUUCCCGGGCCUU
Molecule: ribosomal RNA, 455 nt
Filed under: uncultured Desulfobulbus sp.
Lineage: Bacteria; Pseudomonadati; Thermodesulfobacteriota; Desulfobulbia; Desulfobulbales; Desulfobulbaceae
Description: bacterial SSU rRNA
Rfam family: Bacterial small subunit ribosomal RNA
Source: RNAcentral